Molecule: ribosomal RNA, 301 nt
Filed under: uncultured bacterium
Lineage: Bacteria
Description: partial 16S ribosomal RNA
Rfam family: Bacterial small subunit ribosomal RNA
Source: RNAcentral
CAGCAGCCGCGGUAACACGUAGGUGGCGAGCGUUGUCCGGAAUUAUUGGGCGUAAAGGGAGCGCAGGCGGACAUAUAAGUCCAUCUUAAAAGUGCGGGGCUCAACCCCGUGAGGGGAUGGAAACUGUAUGCCUUGAGUGCAGGAGAGGAAAGCGGAAUUCCCAGUGUAGCGGUGAAAUGCGUAGAUAUUGGGAGGAACACCAGUGGCGAAGGCGGCUUUCUGGACUGUAACUGACGCUGAGGCUCGAAAGCCAGGGGAGCGAACGGGAUUAGAUACCCCAGUAGUCCCUGUCUCUUAUACA